AGCUUUGCGCAGUGGUAGUAUCGUAGCCAGUGAGGUUUAUCUGAGGUGUGAUUAUUGCUAAUUGAAAAGCUCUUU
Molecule: small nuclear RNA, 75 nt
Filed under: Fukomys damarensis (Damara mole-rat)
Lineage: Eukaryota; Metazoa; Chordata; Mammalia; Rodentia; Bathyergidae
Description: U4 spliceosomal RNA
Rfam family: U4 spliceosomal RNA
About the family: U4 small nuclear RNA (U4 snRNA) is a component of the major U2-dependent spliceosome. The structure of U4 snRNA from yeast and human has been reported. U4 snRNA presents a k-turn RNA motif in the 5p-SL related to recognition of Snu13 protein.
Source: Rfam by way of RNAcentral